RNAcentral lists this ribosomal RNA (253 nucleotides) under uncultured bacterium. RNAcentral describes it as "partial 16S ribosomal RNA". It matches the Rfam family "Bacterial small subunit ribosomal RNA", at positions 524 to 776 of the family's 1533-position model. The record is from RNAcentral.
UACGGAGGAUGCAAGUGUUAUCCGGAAUCACUGGGCGUAAAGCGUCUGUAGGUGGUUUAAAAAGUCUACUGUUAAAGCUUGAAGCUUAACUUCAAAAAUGCCGUAGAAACUUUUAAACUUGAGUAUGGUAGGGGUAGAGGGAAUUUCCAGUGGAGCGGUGAAAUGCGUAGAUCUUGGAAAGACCACCAAUGGCGAAGGCACUCUACUGGGCCAUGACUGACACUAAGAGACGAAAGCUAGGGGAGCAAAUGGG